This 72-nucleotide transfer RNA is filed under the name Streptomyces morookaense. RNAcentral's name for it is "tRNA-Ala". The record is from RNAcentral. Lineage: Bacteria; Bacillati; Actinomycetota; Actinomycetes; Kitasatosporales; Streptomycetaceae.
GGCCCGUGUAGCGGACGGUGGCGGGGGUGCUCUCGCGCAGUGCCAGGUGCAGCUGGGCGCUGCGGCGGGCGG